RNAcentral lists this ribosomal RNA (492 nucleotides) under uncultured bacterium. Its description in RNAcentral is "partial 16S ribosomal RNA". It matches the Rfam family "Bacterial small subunit ribosomal RNA", at positions 29 to 507 of the family's 1533-position model. The record is from RNAcentral.
AGUGAACGCUGGCGGUAGGCCUAACACAUGCAAGUCGAACGGCAGCACAGUAAGAGCUUGCUCUUACGGGUGGCGAGUGGCGGACGGGUGAGGAAUACAUCGGAAUCUACUUUUUCGUGGGGGAUAACGUAGGGAAACUUACGCUAAUACCGCAUACGACCUACGGGUGAAAGCAGGGGAUCUUCGGACCUUGCGCGAUUGAAUGAGCCGAUGUCGGAUUAGCUAGUUGGCGGGGUAAAGGCCCACCAAGGCGACGAUCCGUAGCUGGUCUGAGAGGAUGAUCAGCCACACUUGAACUGAGACACGGUCCAGACUCCUACGGGAGGCAGCAGUGGGGAAUAUUGGACAAUGGGCGCAAGCCUGAUCCGGCCAUACCGCGUGGGUGAAGAAGGCCUUCGGGUUGUAAAGCCCUUUUGUUGGGAAAGAAAAGCAGCAGGUUAAUACCCCGCUGUUCUGACGGUACCCAAAGAAUAAGCACCGGCUAACUUCGUG